CCUACGGGUGGCUGCAGUGGGGAAUAUUGCACAAUGGGGGAAACCCUGAUGCAGCGACGCCGCGUGAAGGACGAAGUAUUUCGGUAUGUAAACUUCUAUCAGCAGGGAAGAAAAUGACGGUACCUGAGCAAGAAGCCCCGGCUAACUACGUGCCAGCAGCCGCGGUAAUACGUAGGGGGCAAGCGUUAUCCGGAUUUACUGGGUGUAAAGGGAGCGUAGACGGCCGUGCAAGUCUGAUGUGAAAACCCGGGGCUCAACCCCGGGACUGCAUUGGAAACUGUGCGGCUGGAGUGUCGGAGAGGCAAGUGGAAUUCCUAGUGUAGCGGUGAAAUGCGUAGAUAUUAGGAGGAACACCAGUGGCGAAGGCGGCUUGCUGGACGACGACUGACGUUGAGGCUCGAAAGCGUGGGGAGCAAACAGGAUUAGAUACCCGGGUAGUC
This 440-nucleotide ribosomal RNA is filed under the name uncultured bacterium. RNAcentral describes it as "partial 16S ribosomal RNA". It matches the Rfam family "Bacterial small subunit ribosomal RNA", at positions 338 to 795 of the family's 1533-position model. The record is from RNAcentral.